GUUGUCAUUCUGCAGCACAUAUAUAAAUUGGAACGAUACAGAGAGAUUAGCAUGGCCCUGUGCACGGAUGACAAGCAAAUUAUGAAGCAUUCCAUAUUUUU
RNAcentral lists this small nuclear RNA (101 nucleotides) under Vicugna pacos (alpaca). The record is from RNAcentral. Lineage: Eukaryota; Metazoa; Chordata; Mammalia; Artiodactyla; Camelidae.